AGCAGCCGCGGUAAUUCCAGCUCCAAUAGCGUAUAUUAAAGUUGUUGCAGUUAAAAAGCUCGUAGUUGAAUUUCGGGAUCAAUAUAUCGGUCGUGCCUUGGUACGUACUGGUAUCAUUGGUUUCUCCUUUCUGACGAACCAUGAUGUCAUUAAUUUGGUGUUAUGGGAAGUUAGGACUGUUACUUUGAAAAAUUAGAGUGUUUAAAGCAGGCUUUAGCUUGAAUACAUUAGCAUGGAAUAAUGAAAUAGGACGUUCGAACCUAUUUUGUUGGUUUCUAGGAUCAACGUAAUGAUUAAUAGGGAUAGUUGGGGCAUUAGUAUUCAAUUGUCAGAGGUGAAAUUCUUGGAUUUAUUGAAGACUAACUACUGCGAAAGCAUUUGCCA
This 384-nucleotide ribosomal RNA is filed under the name uncultured Glomeromycotina. Its description in RNAcentral is "SSU rRNA". It matches the Rfam family "Eukaryotic small subunit ribosomal RNA", at positions 569 to 960 of the family's 1831-position model. Lineage: Eukaryota; Fungi; Glomeromycota. The record is from RNAcentral.